GGAGAUAUGCUGUUUAGAGCACUUAUGAUGCAGUGACUAACUACCAAAUAAAUAUAGAAAUCAGCUUGAAUUCACAGUUAUAUAAUGUAUACAUGAAAACCACUUGAAAAUGGAGAAAAGGCAUCAAGAAUCUUUACGUAAAAACUGGGUUUUUCUGAUGGAUAGUUUGAUUUUGGAAGAUCUUCUUGACUUAAUGAUAGAAAAAGAAAUUUUCACACCAAGUAUGGGAGAAGAAGUUAGUGUCAAACAGACAAAGAAAGAUAAAGCAACACAGUUUUUAUUCACCUUAAUUAGACGAGGACCUAAAGCUUUUGAUACAUUUAUAGAAUGUUUGAAUGAAUCCUCUCAAGACUUUAUAGCAGAAAAAUUAAUUACCACUUUAAAUGAAGAACCAAUGCAGUUAUAGUUUAUAAACAGUAUUUUUGUAAUACUUAAUCACAUUAAGCUUGACUUCCAUAUAUGACAAUUUACAUUACUCUUUUUUAAGUACUAUCAUACAUAAAUUCUGUAAAAAAAGUA
This is a long non-coding RNA of Mytilus californianus (California mussel), 519 nucleotides long. RefSeq lists it as uncharacterized. The transcript has 2 exons. The record is from RefSeq and is a predicted model, not a curated record. Lineage: Eukaryota; Metazoa; Mollusca; Bivalvia; Mytilida; Mytilidae.